Molecule: RNA transcript, 1617 nt
Organism: Amaranthus tricolor (Joseph's coat)
Lineage: Eukaryota; Viridiplantae; Streptophyta; Magnoliopsida; Caryophyllales; Amaranthaceae
Exons: 3
Source: RefSeq, a predicted model, not a curated record
CUAAUGUAUUCCAAAUAAUAUAAUUCCUGGCGGCAAGCGCAAGAACCAAAACCCCUAAGCCCGAAGAUGAGCAACAAUGGCAGCAGCAAUUCCUUCAACACCACUCCAAACUUUGAUAAUCUCCUCCUUCAAUCUCUCAUGGAUCGUCUUCAACUCGGCCAAAUCCAAAAUCAACAACGCCAUCAAAUUCCCCUUUCUGCUUCUCCACCUUUUCUCUCUAAAUCCUUCGAAGACCUUCUCCUAGACGCCGCCACCAAUGGUGGACGUUUCUCCGACUUCUCUUUUUCCGAUGAAGAUGACGAUGAUGAUCAAAACUUUUCCAAUGUCAAAACCCAGCUUUCUAAGGAAGAAUCAAGGCUUGAGAAGGAAUUAAUUAAGAUUAUUCUUAGUGGGAACACUGAAACUCUAAAACCCAAUUCAGGGCAAGCGGUUUCGAUUGGUGAACAUCAUGUUUGUGUUGGGUUUCAUGAGGAAAAAGAAUCGGAGUAUCGGGUUUGGGAGUGGCAUGGUCAUAUUAUGUUGUUUGAUGAUGAAAAUGGGUAUACUCCCGAGUAUAUUUAUGGGAAUUAUUUUGAGAGAUUGAUGUUUAAAGUGAAGAAAGAUAAGGAAGAGGAGAGUGAGAAAAAGGUGGAGAAUAUGGGUUUAAAAGAAUUGAUUGAGGGUGGAGAUUCGGGUGAUAAUCGGGUUCUUCAUCAGAUUAGAGUUGCUGCUUCUUCUGGUGGUCUUUCAUUGGGACAUGAAUGAAGAAAAGGAGCGACGCAAGGGAGUAUUUUUAUGUUUGAAUAAAAGGCAAUAAGGCAGAAGCUUUUGUCAUCGUUGAGGGUCCUUUUGGAAUGAAGGAACUGGCUUUGUAUUGUGGGUCCUGAAAGAUUCAAGUGAGAACUGAGGUCUUGCAACAUUAGGACAUCAUCUUAAAUAUUCGGAAGGAAGUAUCGUAAUACUACCUCUUUUUUCCCAGUUUUGUUAGAUUAGACAUACAUUGGAAUGUUUUGUUUUUGUUUGGAAGUUCGAUAUUGAGAUGGACAGUAAUACUCCCGCCGACGGAUGUAAACCCUUAAUGAAUAAUACUAGUCACUGCUAUUUGGUGGUAUUUCCAGUGUCCUUGUGAAAGUCCAUCAAUUUCUAUCUAAAGGUUUUGUUGGUGAAAAUAUUUUUUGGUACCCAGAUACACAUAACUACUCGUCUUCUUAAAUUAUUCAUUAUUGCCUUGAAAACAAAUGCAAGAUGCCCUUUCAUCACCUUCCUUCCCUUGUGGCCACAACACCUCUUACCAUGAAUCUUGGCUGACAUCUACCAUAUGAUCCGCUGUGUAAAUAUGCAAUAGAUAGCUAGUGAUGGCCACGAUCCGCGUUGGCCGGUUUCAUUUCCGGUUCCAUUAGGUUUUGGUGUCUAAAAGCUGGAACCUAAUUCGGAACGUUGGGUUCCGAUUUCGUUUCAUUAGCGGUUUAGGAGGUGGUUCGUAGCAGUCAGGAGGCGUUUCCUAGCAGUUCAACUCCCGAGUUGGAUUGGUCAGACUAUCAGAUCAAUUUUCUUUUUUUUUUUUUGCUUUGAAUAUAAAUAUAAAAAUUCAUAUAAAGUAUCAAAAUGAUGUGGACAUAUAUUUUCGAUUAUUAUUGA